AUGAGGGUUUGAUCCUGGCCCAGGAUGAACGCUGGCGGCGUGGAUAAGGCAUGCAAGUCGAACGAACCCUUCGGGGUUAGUGGCGAACGAGUUAGUAACGCCUUGGUACUUACCGUAUAGUCAAGAAUAACUAGCCGAAAGGUUGGCUAAUACUUGAUAGUCUCGAAAGAGUAAAGGAGCAAUUCGCUAUACGAUAGGCCUAGGUCCUAUCAGCUAGUUGGUGAGGUAAUAGCUCACCAAGGCUACGACGGGUAGGGGGAGUGAGAGCUUGACCCCCAACGACGGCACUGAGACACGGGCCGUACACCUACGGGUGGCAGCAGUCGAGAAUAUUCCACAAUGGACGAAAGUCUGAUGGAGCGACGCCGCGUGCAGGAAGAAGGCCUUCGGGUUGUAAACUGCUUUUCUAGGAGAAAAAGUCUGGCCAAUUGUGCUCGCUAACUUCGGUUAGUGGGUGCAAUUGGCUAGAUUGAUGGUACCUUAGGAAUAAGGGGUUGCUAACUUCGUGCCAGCAGCAGCGGUAAUACGAAGACCCCGAGCGUUAUCCGGAUUUAUUGGGCGUAAAGAGAGAGCAGGAGGUUUGGUGCGUCUGUUGUUAAAUCCCACCGCUCAACGGUGGAACUGCAAUGGAUACGAUCAAACUAGAGGAUACUAGAGGUUACUGGAACACACGGUGUAGGGGUGAAAUCCGUUGAUAUCGUGUGGAACACCAAAGGCGAAGGCAUGUAACUGGAGUAUUCCUGACUCUGAGUCUCGAAAGCGUGGGGAGCAAAAAGGAUUAGAUACCCUUGUAGUCCACGCCGUAAAUGAUGUCUACUAGCUAUCGGAAGUAUCGACCCUUUCGGUGGCGAAGCUAACGCGUUAAGUAGACCGCCUGGGAAGUACGAGCGCAAGCUUAAAACUCAAAGGAAUAGACGGGGACUCGCACAAGCGGUGGAUCAUGCGGUUUAAUUCGAUGCUAAACGAAGAACCUCACCAGGGCUAGAAAUCCAAGCGAAGUUCCAGCGAAAGUUGGGAUGUCUCACAAGGACGGUUGGACAGGUGUUGCAUGGCUGUCGUCAGUUCGUNNGGAAUCGCUAGUAAUCGUGAAUCAGCCAUGUCACGGUGAAUACGUUCUCGAGUCCUGUACUCACCGCCCGUCACACCAAGGGAGCUGGUAGCGGAUAGAGUCUCACCUAGCGUGGGAUGAGUUCGAGAUCAGUGACAGGGGUGAAGUCGUAACAAGGCACGCGUAGCGGAAGCUGUG
RNAcentral lists this ribosomal RNA (1246 nucleotides) under Candidatus Wolfebacteria bacterium. Its description in RNAcentral is "bacterial SSU rRNA". It matches the Rfam family "Bacterial small subunit ribosomal RNA". Lineage: Bacteria; Candidatus Wolfeibacteriota. The record is from RNAcentral.